RNAcentral lists this ribosomal RNA (336 nucleotides) under uncultured bacterium. RNAcentral's name for it is "bacterial SSU rRNA". It matches the Rfam family "Bacterial small subunit ribosomal RNA", at positions 8 to 334 of the family's 1533-position model. The record is from RNAcentral.
AGGGUUUGAUUAUGGCUCAGGACGAACGCUGGCGGCGCGCCUAACACAUGCAAGUCGAACGGAGUUGUGUUGAAAGCUUGCUGGAAAUACAACUUAGUGGCGGACGGGUGAGUAACACGUGAGUAACCUGCCUUUCAGAGUGGAAUAACGUUUGGAAACGAACGCUAAUACCGCAUAACAUGAGAGAACGGCAUCGUUCUUUCAUCAAAGAUUUUAUCGCUGAGAGAUGGGCUCGCGGCCGAUUAGGUAGUUGGUGAGAUAACAGCCCACCAAGCCGACGAUCGGUAGCCGGACUGAGAGGUUGAACGGCCACAUUGGGACUGAGACACGGCCCAG